GACGAACGCUGGCGGCGUGCUUAACACAUGCAAGUCGAACGGAAAGGCCUGCUUUCCCUUGUGGUUUGCGGGUACUCGAGUGGCGAACGGGUGAGUAACACGUGAGUGAUCUGCCCCCAACUUGGGUAUAAGCCUGGGAAACUGGGUCUAAUUCCCGAUAGGACUGCAGGGUGGUGCCUGUGGUGGAAAACGAUUUUCUAGUGGUUGGGGAUGAGCUCGCGGCCUAUCAGCUUGUUGGUGGGGUAAUGGCCUACCAAGGCGGGGACGGGUAGCCGGCGUGGGAGGGUGGACGGUGACAUUGAGACUGGGACAAGGCCCAGACUGCUAGGGGAGGCAGGAGUGGGGAAGAAAGGACAAAGGGCGGAAGGGUGAUGCACCGAGGCCGCGUGGGGGAUGACGGGAUCGGGAUUGUAAACUCCUUGGGACCGCGAGAAAGGCACGUGGCUGGAAGGGUGGUGACGGUAGUGGUAGAAGAAGCACCGGCUAACUACGUG
Molecule: ribosomal RNA, 494 nt
Filed under: uncultured bacterium
Lineage: Bacteria
Description: partial 16S ribosomal RNA
Rfam family: Bacterial small subunit ribosomal RNA
Source: RNAcentral